CUCAUUUUGAACAUUUAUUCGAAAGGGGAUAUAAUUCAAAGGGAUAAAAUGAACAAUCCUUAAAAUGUACAUGAAGAGUUUCUCAAAAUAUUUUUAACAGUAAACUGACGAAAAGUUAAAAUUACUUUAAUAUUUUUCAUAAAAGUAUUCCAUUUAAUUGUAACCACUGAUUUGAGCAAAGUUAAACUUUGCUAAAUAAAAUGUUGAUUAAUUAAGCAACCAUUUAGCGAAUUUAUAACAAAUUAGCAGAUCAGAGACAGACUUAUGAUAAAAAUAUAAACAUUCAUAUAUUAGCGAAUGUGCAAACAUUUAUAUACAUAUACAUUCACACAUAUAUGUACAUAUUUAUAUAUGCGUAGCACUAUGCUUCAGUAAAUGGAAAUACACAUUCGCGCGUAAGUUUUCCAUUUAUAGUAGGUGACACAUGCGAGUACUUAUUGUGCAUGAUAAAUAAAUAGUAAUUAUUAUUUAGUUCGCAUGUUGGCAAUGAAAAGAAAUUAAGAGUAAAACAUAUUUUGCCAUUUUAAACCUUUCCACAUUUGCCAAAUUUGGAUUUCAACGGUGUGCCGACAACUUUUAUUAUCGCUGCAUUGACUGUCUGCCAGUCGUAAGGUCGUUGAUUCCAUAAUUGUCGAGAGAGCGAAAAACGUCACUUGCUACAAAGUGUGUAAAAUCGAAUGGAUGACAGGAAUAUUGAACGUCAUACAUCACCAGUUAGUUGAUUCAAUCAAUUCGUUACCAUAAAAGGUGCUAAUGACCAUUUGGAACAUUAACGAGUUUUGAAUAUAAGUGCAUAGAAAAAAUGGCAAAUUGAUUAAGAAGGCUAAGAACGAUUUUCCAUAAAAGUAACUUAUAUGAUUUUUUUUUAUAUUUGUCUGAUAGCUGUGAGUAUAGGUUUUAUCAACAAAAAAAAAAUUAAAAACAGAAAUUAUAAUAAAUAACAAUGUUAUAUAGUCGGUUGAUAAAUUGGAAAUAAUUCUUAGGACCUCUGCUUGUAAAAUUGAAAUCUUUAAUUAGAUUUGUUGCGUUCGUAAAAUAUAUUAUAAGCUGAAUAGAAAUUCUUAAAUAUUUGAUUUUACAAACAAAUUUAACGCCGCCUAAUUUUGUGCAACAAUUUAAUUUGUAUCUGCCCAACCAAGAAUGAGCUCAGCAACACAUAACAACGUCUGCCAAGAAGGUCAUCGUCACGUAUAUGUGUGAGCGUAUGUAGAAAAGAAAUUCGUAGCUUAAUAUACGAAAAAGCAAGUCGAAAAAAGCGUAUAAUACAAACUGGGUCAUUAUCUAUAAAAGACGUAGUACAGAAAAUUACAAAACAAUAUUCAACACAAUUCAAAUGUUGGUUAUGCUUGUAUAUCACAGGAAUCGUGUAAAUAAAUAUAUACAUAAAUAUAUAUAAGAUUAAAUAUAGCUGCACAACAAUUUGAAUAUGUACCCACAAAAGCAAUGAACAUACAUAUGCAAAGAGCUGACAAAAUCUAACUGAAAGCGAAAGAAUUUUUUAAUUCUAUAAACCCACAAGUAUUAUCAACAAUUAUUUCGAUUAUUUUUAGGAAUAAACUAAUGUUUAUAACACCUACAAUGUUUUGUAAUCUAUAUUAAAAUAUGAAAUACUAUUCAUUCGCAUCUUUCACUCACUCUAACAUUUUCAAUAUCACCUAAAUCAACUGUACUACUGUAUAUCCUCACAUUCAUAUUAGCUUAAGGCCCCAGAUGCCAUAGCUUCUAUUUAAUACAUUGUUCUGUAAUUUAGUUAUAGUUUCUAUAUUUUUGUAAAUAAAUAAAUAAAUAAAUAACACCUACAAUAGUGUCUUUGAUAGAA
Zeugodacus cucurbitae (melon fly) is the source of this 1819-nucleotide long non-coding RNA. RefSeq lists it as uncharacterized. The record is from RefSeq and is a predicted model, not a curated record. Lineage: Eukaryota; Metazoa; Arthropoda; Insecta; Diptera; Tephritidae. The transcript is spliced from 2 exons.